CCUACGGGGGGCAGCAGUGGGGAAUUUUGGACAAUGGGGGCAACCCUGAUCCAGCCAUGCCGCGUGAGUGAAGAAGGCCUUCGGGUUGUAAAGCUCUUUCGGCCGGGAAGAAAUCGCUCAAGCUAAUACCUUGGGUGGAUGACGGUACCGGAAGAAGAAGCACCGGCUAACUACGUGCCAGCAGCCGCGGUAAUACGUAUGGUACGAGCGUUAGUUGGAAGUGCUGGGCGUAAAGCAUGAGAAGGCGGCGAAAUCCCCGGGCUUAACCUGGGAACUGCGUUUGUGACUGUGGUGCUCGAGUGCGGCAGAGGGGGGUGGAAUUCCACGUGUAGCAGUGAAAUGCGUAGAGAUGUGGAGGAACACCGAUGGCGAAGGCAGCCCCCUGGGUCGACACUGACGCUCAUGCACGAAAGCGUGGGGAGCAAACAGGAUUAGAUACCCUAGUAGUC
RNAcentral lists this ribosomal RNA (449 nucleotides) under uncultured bacterium. RNAcentral's name for it is "partial 16S ribosomal RNA". It matches the Rfam family "Bacterial small subunit ribosomal RNA", at positions 338 to 795 of the family's 1533-position model. The record is from RNAcentral.